GAGUGAAUUAACGAUUUCUGUUUAUAUAUUGUGUAAAAUGCAAGUCAUUUCAAGUAACAAUUAAGUUGUUUUGGUAUACUCCCAUGCUUUUCCUCUUGGUUCUGCUUUAGAGAGUUAGGGUCUUGCAGUCAUUUUUAAACUCAUUUUUAGUUCUACCAUCCUCAUCCCAACUAUAUAUCGAUUUUAUUGAUAUAUAGGUUUCCUUCCCUUAGACAAAAACAUUUUAUAUUUGGAAGGAAUCUUGGAAGUUCAUUGCAGGAAUGAAGAAAUUGAAGCCAAGGUGAGCUAUAUUAAGUACCUGCUACAUGAAAGGCAUAAUGCUAGGUGCUUUGGGAGACCAAAAGAUGACUCAAACAUAUAAACAUUUUUUUUUUUCAGUUUCAGUUCUCUUUUUAGAUGUCACCUCCCAAAGAGUCUUUCUUAGAACACAGUAUCUGGAGUUGCCCUUUCCCACCAUUAUUCAUUAUCUCAGUAUCUUCCUUGUCAGCAUAGUUACUCUGUUAACUUUGCCCCUUUUGCGCUAGAUUGUAAAUUCCAAGUUUGUCUUGUUCAUAGUUGGAUCCAGGUUUAGCACAGUGCCUGACGAACAGUAGGUCUUUAAUUAACAUUUAUUGAAAGAUUGAUUAGAUAUAUGCAGAAAUAAUAUAUUACUUGAUCUUAAGUUUUAAGUUUAACCGAGUCUUAAAUUUUGUGAGCGCAGGUACAUACUGUAUUAGAAAUUAUGGCUGGGCGUGGUGGUUCACACUUCUAAUCCCAGCACUUUGGGAGGCUGAGGCAGGCAGAUCGCCUGAGCUCAGGAAUUGAAGACCAGCCUAGACAACAUGGUGAAACCCCAUCUCUACAAAAAAAUACAAAAAUUAUCUGGGUGUGAUGCCACAAACCUGUAGUCCCAGCUACUUGGGGGGGCUGAGGCAAGAGAAUCUCUUGAGCCCAGGGGGUGGAGGCGGCAGUGAACCAUGUUCAUGCCACUGCACUCCAGUCUGUGUGACAAAGCGAGACCCCGUCUCAGAAAAAAAAGAAGGAAAAAAAAAGAAAUUAUGGAUGUUUGGAGUCAAAAGAGAUUCUCCUGCCUGGGUGCGCUCUUGCAAAAAUGUCCUUCUCUUGCCAGAAAGAAGGGCAUUUAAAAAGUCAGGCAAGGGAAUAGGGAGUUAUUGUUAAUGGGUACCAAAUUUCAGUUUGGGAAGGUGAAAGAAUUCUGGAAAUGAAUGUGAUGAUUGCACAAUUAAUGUACUUAAUACCACUGAAAUGUAUACUUAAAAGUUAUUAAAAUGGUAAAAUUUAUGUAUAUUUCACCACAGUUGAAAAAAAAAGCCAAGUAAUACAAGUAGAAGUAAUUGUUAUUAAACUUUUUAGUUUAUUUUUAAAUUGUUUUUACAAACUUUGGGGAUUUUAGAGAUGUGUUCCUUGAGUUUGAUUUUUUUCCCCUGUCAUCUCUCAAUUUAGUUUCCUUUCUUUGGCCAGGAAGAGUAUUAAAAACAUUAAAUUUGGCUUGGCGUGGUGGCUCACGCCUGUA
This 1513-nucleotide long non-coding RNA is filed under the name Homo sapiens (human). RNAcentral describes it as "HSALNT0213102". Lineage: Eukaryota; Metazoa; Chordata; Mammalia; Primates; Hominidae. The record is from RNAcentral.